GCACAUAUGGCUGAGUCAGGUCAAAAGCAACGGUCUGCAAAACCGUACAACCAUUGGUUCGAAUCCAAUUAUGUGCU
This 77-nucleotide transfer RNA is filed under the name Sphingomonas phage PAU. It matches the Rfam family "tRNA". Rfam says of the family: Transfer RNA (tRNA) molecules are approximately 80 nucleotides in length. Their secondary structure includes four short double-helical elements and three loops (D, anti-codon, and T loops). Further hydrogen bonds mediate the characteristic L-shaped molecular structure. tRNAs have two regions of fundamental functional importance: the anti-codon, which is responsible for specific mRNA codon recognition, and the 3' end, to which the tRNAs corresponding amino acid is attached (by aminoacyl-tRNA synthetases). tRNAs cope with the degeneracy of the genetic code in two manners: having more than one tRNA (with a specific anti-codon) for a particular amino acid; and 'wobble' base-pairing, i.e. permitting non-standard base-pairing at the 3rd anti-codon position. Lineage: Duplodnaviria; Heunggongvirae; Uroviricota; Caudoviricetes. The record is from Rfam by way of RNAcentral.